Molecule: long non-coding RNA, 446 nt
Filed under: Brassica rapa (field mustard)
Lineage: Eukaryota; Viridiplantae; Streptophyta; Magnoliopsida; Brassicales; Brassicaceae
Description: long non-coding RNA (BRAP_LNC000758)
Source: RNAcentral
GUUCAUUCAUUUUAAGACGCUUCUAUUGGUGUAUCUAUAUUAUAGUGGGUUCCAAGUUUAAUUUGUUUUAUUUUCUCACUGUUCUUUUAUUCUGCUUAUACAAUCUAUAUUAUUUAUUUAUUUUAUUUCAUUUACGCCGUCUUCAACGUUAUUUUUUCUUUCCAAACUUUAUCUAUAAAUUUUUUUUUGUUCUUGUGUUUUACAGUAUUCUCCGAAUGUUAGAUUACUGUUUCUUCGUCCACUAUUUAUUUAUUUAGAUAUAUAUGAAUUAAUUGUUUGAUUCUAUAAGCUAGUAAGUGAAUAAUAACAUUUUUUUUUCUUAACUGUAUUUAGCUGAUGAUAUUUUUCAUAUCUUUAGUAAUUAUAUCUUUUAAAGUUAUAUACAAGAUCAAGUUAGAUUGUGUAUUUAUCAAUCUAACGUUCUUUUGAACAUGACAAAGAUGAGA